UAUUCAAAUAGCUUAAUUUAGAGCAUGAUAUUGAAGAUAUUAAGGUAAUAGUUAUAUUUUUGAAUAA
RNAcentral lists this transfer RNA (67 nucleotides) under Glenea cantor. RNAcentral's name for it is "tRNA-Phe". It matches the Rfam family "tRNA". From Rfam's summary of the family: Transfer RNA (tRNA) molecules are approximately 80 nucleotides in length. Their secondary structure includes four short double-helical elements and three loops (D, anti-codon, and T loops). The record is from RNAcentral. Lineage: Eukaryota; Metazoa; Arthropoda; Insecta; Coleoptera; Cerambycidae.